GGCCCAUUGGCCUAAUGGCUAAGGCGUCACUCUCCUAUUUUGAGAUUAAGUGAAGAUUGUGGGUUCGACUCCCAUAUGGGUCG
Non-coding RNA from Aspergillus nanangensis, 83 nucleotides. Lineage: Eukaryota; Fungi; Ascomycota; Eurotiomycetes; Eurotiales; Aspergillaceae. The record is from the annotation of a GenBank genome assembly.